RNAcentral lists this ribosomal RNA (81 nucleotides) under Fusarium oxysporum f. sp. vasinfectum. Its description in RNAcentral is "5.8S ribosomal RNA". The stretch from base 1 to 69 matches the Rfam family "5.8S ribosomal RNA", at positions 86 to 154 of the family's 154-position model. Rfam says of the family: 5.8S ribosomal RNA (5.8S rRNA) is a component of the large subunit of the eukaryotic ribosome. The record is from RNAcentral. Lineage: Eukaryota; Fungi; Ascomycota; Sordariomycetes; Hypocreales; Nectriaceae.
GAAUCAUCGAAUCUUUGAACGCACAUUGCGCCCGCCAGUAUUCUGGCGGGCAUGCCUGUUCGAGCGUCAUUUCAACCCUCA